This 723-nucleotide ribosomal RNA is filed under the name Bacillariophyta sp. ind-15. RNAcentral describes it as "SSU rRNA". It matches the Rfam family "Eukaryotic small subunit ribosomal RNA", at positions 477 to 1201 of the family's 1831-position model. The record is from RNAcentral. Lineage: Eukaryota; Bacillariophyta.
AUAAUACAUGCCGGGCUUUCUAGGUCUGGCAAUUGGAAUGAGAACAAUUUAAAUCCCUUAUCGAGGAUCAAUUGGAGGGCAAGUCUGGUGCCAGCAGCCGCGGUAAUUCCAGCUCCAAUAGCGUAUAUUAAAGUUGUUGCAGUUAAAAAGCUCGUAGUUGGACAUCUGGUGGGAGCAAUGGGUCUCGCGCUUAGCGCGGGUACUUCAGUUGACUCCCGCCAUCCUCGGGGAGAGCCCGUCUGGCAUUAGGUUGUCGGGCGGGGGAUCCCCGUCAUUUACUGUGAAAAAAUUAGAGUGUUCAAAGCAGGCUUAUGCCGUUGAAUAUAUUAGCAUGGAAUAAUAAGAUAGGACUUGGGUACUAUUUUGUUGGUUUGCGCGCCCAAGUAAUGAUUAAUAGGAACAGUCGGGGGUAUUCAUAUUCCGUUGUCAGAGGUGAAAUUCUUGGAUUUACGGAAGAUGAACUACUGCGAAAGCAUUUACCAAGGAUGUUUUCAUUAAUCAAGAACGAAAGUUGGGGGAUCGAAGAUGAUUAGAUACCAUCGUAGUCUCAACCAUAAACUAUGCCGACUCGGGAUUGGCGGGUGUUCUCUCAACGACCCCGUCAGCACCGUAAGAGAAAUCAAAGUCUUUGGGUUCCGGGGGGAGUAUGGUCGCAAGGCUGAAACUUAAAGAAAUUGACGGAGGGGCACCACCAGGAGUGGAGCCUGCGGCUUAAUUUGACUC